UACGUAGGGGGCAAGCGUUGUCCGGAUUUACUGGGCGUGAAGAGCGUGUGGGCGGCCAAGCAGGUCCGUUGUGAAAGUCGGGGGCUCAACCCUCGAAUGCCGGUGGAUACUGUCGGGCUAGAGUGCGGAAGAGGCGAGUGGAAUUCCUGGUGUAGCGGUGAAAUGCGCAGAUAUCAGGAGGAACACCUAUUGCGAAGGCAGCUCGCUGGGACGUUACUGACGCUGAGACGCGAAAGCGUGGGGAGCAAACAGG
This 253-nucleotide ribosomal RNA is filed under the name uncultured bacterium. RNAcentral describes it as "partial 16S ribosomal RNA". It matches the Rfam family "Bacterial small subunit ribosomal RNA", at positions 524 to 776 of the family's 1533-position model. The record is from RNAcentral.